GCCACUUGUCCUAUUUGCAGGCAGGAGGAUGAGGAUGAGUACCAUGCGGUCAUUAACUGCACUAAGGCCCGAGCUCUGCGUUCUGAAAUUCGAAAAGUGUGGAAGCUUCCAAGUGAGAAAGCCUUUGCUUACACUGGCCCGAAUUGGAUGCAAUGCCUCCUUGAUACAUGUGAUAUGAGGACUCGCGAUAGGAUCCUUCUGAUGUUCUGGAGAGUGUCGUUCCUUCGUGAAGAUUGCGUACAUGGCGAUGGGAAAGCUUUGGUGUCUGUGUCAGUGGAUUUCUGGCAGCGUUACGAGAUGGAAAUCGUGCUUGCCUCGAGACCUAAACCGGAUGCUGUGGGCAAAGUCAGCAUGUUCCCUGCAUGUGUUGGAAAUAUGCCCUAG
RNAcentral lists this ribosomal RNA (384 nucleotides) under Triticum aestivum (bread wheat). RNAcentral's name for it is "partial small subunit ribosomal RNA". The record is from RNAcentral. Lineage: Eukaryota; Viridiplantae; Streptophyta; Magnoliopsida; Poales; Poaceae.